Molecule: transfer RNA, 72 nt
Filed under: Chelonia mydas (Green sea turtle)
Lineage: Eukaryota; Metazoa; Chordata; Testudines; Cheloniidae
Rfam family: tRNA
About the family: Transfer RNA (tRNA) molecules are approximately 80 nucleotides in length. Their secondary structure includes four short double-helical elements and three loops (D, anti-codon, and T loops).
Source: Rfam by way of RNAcentral
GACAGAGUUGCCUAGUGGAUACAGCACUGGACUGGGACUCAGAAAACCUGGGUUCUAUUCCUAGCUCUGCCA